This 213-nucleotide ribosomal RNA is filed under the name uncultured Staphylococcus sp. RNAcentral's name for it is "partial 16S ribosomal RNA". It matches the Rfam family "Bacterial small subunit ribosomal RNA", at positions 127 to 334 of the family's 1533-position model. The record is from RNAcentral. Lineage: Bacteria; Bacillati; Bacillota; Bacilli; Caryophanales; Staphylococcaceae.
CUACUAUAAGACUGGGAUAACUUCGGGAAACCGGAGCUAAUACCGGAUAAUAUUUUGAACCGCAUGGUUCAAAAGUGAAAGACGGUCUUGCUGUCACUUAUAGAUGGAUCCGCGCUGCAUUAGCUAGUUGGUAAGGUAACGGCUUACCAAGGCAACGAUGCAUAGCCGACCUGAGAGGGUGAUCGGCCACACUGGAACUGAGACACGGUCCAG